Molecule: ribosomal RNA, 253 nt
Filed under: uncultured bacterium
Lineage: Bacteria
Description: partial 16S ribosomal RNA
Rfam family: Bacterial small subunit ribosomal RNA
Source: RNAcentral
UACGUAGGGUGCGAGCGUUAAUCGGAAUUACUGGGCGUAAAGCGUGCGCAGGCGGUUUUGUAAGCCAGAUGUGAAAUCCCCGGGCUUAACCUGGGAAUGGCAUUUGGGACUGCAAGGCUUGAGUGCGGCAGAGGAGACUGGAAUUCCUGGUGUAGCAGUGAAAUGCGUAGAUAUCAGGAGGAACACCGAUGGCGAAGGCAGGUCUCUGGGCUGACACUGACGCUCAUGCACGAAAGCGUGGGGAGCAAGCAGG